GAUGAACGCUAGCGGCAGGCUUAACACAUGCAGGUCGAGGGGUAGAAGUUUUCGGACUUUGAGACCGGCGCACGGGUGCGUAACGCGUAUGCAAUCUACCUUUUACAGAGGGAUAGCCCAGAGAAAUUUGGAUUAAUACCUCAUAGUAUUAUGAAAUGGCAUCAUUUUAUAAUUAAAGUCACAACGGUAAAAGAUGAGCA
This 200-nucleotide ribosomal RNA is filed under the name uncultured bacterium. Its description in RNAcentral is "partial 16S ribosomal RNA". It matches the Rfam family "Bacterial small subunit ribosomal RNA", at positions 28 to 231 of the family's 1533-position model. The record is from RNAcentral.